UACGGAGGUUGCGAGCGUUGUUCGGAAUAACUGGGCGUAAAGGGAGCGCAGGCGGCCUGAACAGUCUAAAGUGAAAGCCCGAGGCUUAACCCCGGAAGUGCUUUGGAUACUGCCAGGCUCGAGUUCGUGAGAGGAAAGCGGAAUUCCAGGUGUAGCGGUGAAAUGCGUAGAUAUCUGGAGGAACACCGGUGGCGAAAGCGGCUUUCUGGCGCGAUACUGACGCUGAGGCUCGAAAGCAUGGGGAGCGAACGGG
RNAcentral lists this ribosomal RNA (253 nucleotides) under uncultured bacterium. RNAcentral describes it as "partial 16S ribosomal RNA". It matches the Rfam family "Bacterial small subunit ribosomal RNA", at positions 524 to 776 of the family's 1533-position model. The record is from RNAcentral.